GACGAACGCUGGCGGCGUGCUUAACACAUGCAAGUCGAACGGAAAGGCCCUGCUUUUGUGGGGUGCUCGAUUGGCGAACGGGUGAGUAACACGUGAGUAACCUGCCCUUUUCUUUGGGAUAACUUCAGGAAACUGGGGCUAAUACCGGAUAGGAGCUCCUGCUGCAUGGUGGGGGUUGGAAAGUUUCGGCGGUUGGGGAUGGACUCGCGGCUUAUCAGCUUGUUGGUUGGGUAGUGGCUUACCAAGGCUUUGACGGGUAGCCGGCCUGAGAGGGUGACCGGCCACAUUGGGACUGCGAUACGGACCAGACUCCUACGGGAGGCAGCAGUGGGGAAUAUUGCACAAUGGGCGGAAGCCUGAUGCGGCAACGCCGCGUGCGGGAUGACGGCCUUCGGGUAGUAAACCGCUUUCGCCUGUGACGAAGCGUGAGUGACGGUAAUGGGUAAAGAAGCACCGGCUAACUACGUG
Molecule: ribosomal RNA, 468 nt
Filed under: uncultured bacterium
Lineage: Bacteria
Description: partial 16S ribosomal RNA
Rfam family: Bacterial small subunit ribosomal RNA
Source: RNAcentral